Molecule: long non-coding RNA, 617 nt
Organism: Thalassophryne amazonica
Lineage: Eukaryota; Metazoa; Chordata; Actinopteri; Batrachoidiformes; Batrachoididae
Exons: 3
Source: RefSeq, a predicted model, not a curated record
AAAGCGAAAGUUAAAAAGCGAAACACUCAGUGCAGUCAUAACCACAAGAUUCAUGAGCAAAAAGCAGAAUUGAUGGACUUCACCCUGCUGUGAGGAGCUUUUUUCAGUGACUGUUUUUCAGUGACCUGAAGGGGCUCGCCUGCCCACAGAGCCACACCAGUCGGUCAGGCAAAGAGAAAGCAGCCACUGUGAUCAAGCAGACACACGCUGUCCGAAAUUCUCUACUUUGACAUGUACACACACCCAGUUUGAGCAAUGGAGCUUCUGCAAAUUUGUCUGAGGUGAGUAUGUAAUCUGACAUUAGUGCUGUGCUGAAGUUUGUCAGCAGAGCAACGACUUCUACUGCAGUUGUUCUGCACACCUUGCAGUAGCAUUCGUGUUUCUGUAUGGUUGUGGCAAAAUGCACAUUGAUAUCCCAUCAUUGUGUAGCAAGUGGCCAGCUUUAGACGCUCGCCUGCUUCACUCUACGGGAUCUGGCGAUAAGUACCGUUCCAAUGGGCCUCUAGGUCUGUAGAGGAGUUACUUCUACUUUUUUCUUAUAUACGUAUUUUUUAAAUACUAAAGAAAACGCACACUUCAGGCUUAUUCAACAAACAAACAAUAGGUGUGUUUUACAU